AACGAACGCUGGCGGCAUGCCUAACACAUGCAAGUCGAACGAUCCCUUCGGGGAUAGUGGCGCACGGGUGCGUAACGCGUGGGAGUCUGCCCUUGGCUUCGGAAUAACAGUUAGAAAUGACUGCUAAUACCGGAUGAUGUCUUCGGACCAAAGAUUUAUCGGCCAGGGAUGAGCCCGCGUAGGAUUAGGUAGUUGGUGGGGUAAAGGCCUACCAAGCCGACGAUCCUUAGCUGGUCUGAGAGGAUGAUCAGCCACACUGGGACUGAGACACGGCCCAAAGUACUACGGGAGGCAGCAGUGAGGAAUAUUGGACGAUGGGCGCGAGCCUGAACCAGCAAUGCCGCGUGAGUGAUGAAGGCCUUAGGGUCGUAAAGCUCUUUUACCCGGCGUGAUAAAUAUAGUACCGAGAGAGUAAGCUCCGGCUAACUCCGUGCCAGCCGCCGCGGUAA
This 449-nucleotide ribosomal RNA is filed under the name uncultured bacterium. Its description in RNAcentral is "partial 16S ribosomal RNA". It matches the Rfam family "Bacterial small subunit ribosomal RNA", at positions 29 to 523 of the family's 1533-position model. The record is from RNAcentral.